RNAcentral lists this ribosomal RNA (270 nucleotides) under uncultured archaeon. RNAcentral describes it as "partial 16S ribosomal RNA". It matches the Rfam family "Archaeal small subunit ribosomal RNA", at positions 477 to 747 of the family's 1478-position model. The record is from RNAcentral.
CAGCCCCUCGAGUGGUGGGGAUGAUUAUUUGGCCUAAAGCGUCCGUAGCCGGCCGUGUAAGUCUCCCGUUAAAUCCAGCGUCUCAAGCGUUGGACUGCGGGAGAUACUGUACGGCUAGAGAGUGGGAGAGGUCAGCGGUAUUCUGGGGGUAGGGGCGAAAUCCUUUGAUCCCCGGAGGACCACCAGUGGCGAAGGCUGCUGACUAGAACACGUCUGACGGUCAGGGACGAAAGCUGGGGUAGCGAACCGGAUUAGAUACCCUGGUAGUCC